GAUGAGCGCUGGCGGCGUGCCUAAUACAUGCAAGUCGAGCGAACAGACGAGGAGCUUGCUCCUCUGACGUUAGCGGCGGACGGGUGAGUAACACGUGGAUAACCUACCUAUAAGACUGGGAUAACUUCGGGAAACCGGAGCUAAUACCGGAUAAUAUAUUGAACCGCAUGGUUCAAUAGUGAAAGACGGUUUUGCUGUCACUUAUAGAUGGAUCCGCGCCGCAUUAGCUAGUUGGUAAGGUAACGGCUUACCAAGGCAACGAUGCGUAGCCGACCUGAGAGGGUGAUCGGCCACACUGGAACUGAGACACGGUCCAGACUCCUACGGGAGGCAGCAGUAGGGAAUCUUCCGCAAUGGGCGAAAGCCUGACGGAGCAACGCCGCGUGAAUGAUGAAGGUCUUCGGAUCGUAAAACUCUGUUAUUAGGGAAGAACAAAUGUGUAAGUAACUAUGCACGUCUUGACGGUACCUAAUCAGAAAGCCACGGCUAACUACGUG
Molecule: ribosomal RNA, 497 nt
Filed under: uncultured bacterium
Lineage: Bacteria
Description: partial 16S ribosomal RNA
Rfam family: Bacterial small subunit ribosomal RNA
Source: RNAcentral